CAAUAGCGUAUAUUAAAGUUGUUGCAGUUAAAAAGCUCGUAGUUGGACCUCGGACCUGGACAGGCGGUCCGCCUCACGGCGAGUACUGUCUUGCUGGGUCUUUCCUCUUGGUGAUCUGUUGUUUCGGCAGCAGGGAACCAGGACCUUUACUUUGAAAAAAUUAGAGUGUUCAAAGCAGGCUCGACGCCGGAAUAUAUUAGCAUGGAAUAAUAAAAUAGGACGUGCGGUUCUAUUUUGUUGGUUUUUGGAAUCGCCGUAAUGAUUAAUAGGGACAGUCGGGGGCAUUAGUACUCACAUGCUAGAGGUGAAAUUCUUGGAUUUUGUGAAGACUAACUUCUGCGAAAGCAUUUGCCAAGGAUGUUUUCAUUAA
Molecule: ribosomal RNA, 370 nt
Filed under: uncultured eukaryote
Lineage: Eukaryota
Description: partial 18S ribosomal RNA
Rfam family: Eukaryotic small subunit ribosomal RNA
Source: RNAcentral